This is a non-coding RNA of Callorhinus ursinus (northern fur seal), 359 nucleotides long. Lineage: Eukaryota; Metazoa; Chordata; Mammalia; Carnivora; Otariidae. The record is from RefSeq and is a predicted model, not a curated record.
UAUUUCAUGGAAAAUGUCUAAAUUUUGUCUCUUACGGUUCCACACAGCACUUUAGUACAAAAUGCUCAGGGAAAAAAAAAAAACUGUGCUUAUUCUUAUUCUUCAUCUGGGUCUCAUGAAUACAACGUAGAUAAGGUAGGAUGUGAUUUAAGAAGAGGACAUCAGGAAAAACAAGAUUCAGCUGUGUCUGUGUGCUGUGUUGAUGUAAUUAUAACUCCAUGCUGAAUUCUGAGUUUUUUCUAGCAAAUCACUGAACAUAUGGAUGGUCUUGGAGACCCCUCCAAAAGAGUCACUUAAUUACAUAAAAUACCAAUUAGUAUGAAAUAAAACAGUAGAAGUUGCCUUUUUCAAUCCCUCAA